ACAAAGAAUCCCCUUAGUAUAAAGAAUAAGGAAUUAAUCCUUACCAUAGGAUCUGAAUAAAUUAAUGGUCCAGAUUAGCACUAAUUAAUAAUUAAUCUACAUUUUUUUUUACUGAAUAACUUUAAAAAUCAUAUAUAAAAACGUUGGGGGUAUGUUAGACAUUUUGUCUAUUCAGAAAACUGUCAAUUCCUAAAUUAACUCCAUUAAAUUAGGACAUUUACUUUCACCCCCACUUUCAUCCACCAAACCAUCUUCCCCCCACUUUCUCUCUCCCUUCCCACGACUUUUCCAAACACAUCAGACGCGAAUUCAUCUCUUCAAGAUUCGUCGUCGUCGCCUCUUCGUUCUGUAAUCCGGCGACGUCGUCGCUCCACCUAAGUCCGGCGCCUCCCUGCACUUUCGCCAACCGCCGCCGCGGUCCAAGAUCAGUAACUAGUCAUCGCGCGCAUCUGAAGGCGCCGCGGCGUGUCCGGAUUUCAUCCACUCGUCGGUACGACCUCUGCCUGAAAACGCCGCCGCCGUCGGGACUGCAGGCUGUCACCGAAGCCGGAUUAUAUCCUCAAUUUCCGUCGAUCCUGGGUCAUGAAAUCGGCGAGGUUCACCGUUCACCUUCUGAUUUGACGGGUACAGAGUUUGAACAUCGAAGAGGAUGUUGAAGAAAGUAGGAGCCUUCGCCAAGGAUCCCAUAUCAGAUACUUGCAUUACAGUAUGCGGUGUUUCCGAGCUCGAUGCUUGUGUUGAUGCCUGUGCUCGAAUUGUGUUAUGUUAAUAUGAAAUAUUGGAUUUGUAUAAUAUUUGUUUUCUAUUCAGAAAAUUUGUAAUUUUGUUCAACAUCUUAUAGUGACAUAUUCACUAUACUGUACAUAUCUAUAGUGUAUUCGUUUAUUAGUUAAUUUAUUCAGUUUUUUGUUUUA
This is a long non-coding RNA of Salvia miltiorrhiza (redroot sage), 914 nucleotides long. RefSeq lists it as uncharacterized. NCBI's taxonomy places the organism in Eukaryota, Viridiplantae, Streptophyta, Magnoliopsida, Lamiales, Lamiaceae. The record is from RefSeq and is a predicted model, not a curated record. The transcript has 2 exons.